GUAGUCCACGCUGUAAACGGUGGGUACUAGGUGUGGGGUCCAUUCCACGGGUUCCGUGCCGUAGCUAACGCUUUAAGUACCCCGCCUGGGGAGUACGGCCGCAAGGCUAAAACUCAAAGGAAUUGACGGGGCCCCGCACAAGCGGCGGAGCAUGCGGAUUAAUUCGAUGCAACGCGUAGAACCUUACCUGGGUUUGACAUGGAUCGGGAGUGCUCAGAGAUGGGUGUGCCUCUUUUGGGGUCGGUUCACAGGUGGUGCAUGGCUGUCGUCAGCUCGUGUCGUGAGAUGUUGGGUUAAGUCCCGCAACGAGCGCAACCCUUGUUCACUGUUGCCAGCACGUUAUGGUGGGGACUCAGUGGAGACCGCCGGGGUCAACUCGGA
This 381-nucleotide ribosomal RNA is filed under the name uncultured bacterium. RNAcentral's name for it is "bacterial SSU rRNA". It matches the Rfam family "Bacterial small subunit ribosomal RNA", at positions 790 to 1167 of the family's 1533-position model. The record is from RNAcentral.